This 369-nucleotide unclassified non-coding RNA is filed under the name fungal sp. RNAcentral's name for it is "partial internal transcribed spacer region". The stretch from base 1 to 65 matches the Rfam family "Eukaryotic small subunit ribosomal RNA", at positions 1767 to 1831 of the family's 1831-position model. The record is from RNAcentral. Lineage: Eukaryota; Fungi.
CUUGGUCAUUAGGAAGUAAAAGUCGUAACAAGGUUUCCGUAGGUGAACCUGCGGAAGGAUCAUUAUCACAAAUGAUUUUAGCUUUCCAAAAUUAAUCCUUUGGAAGCUAACCUCUUCUAAACCAAUUUAAACAAAUGUGAAAUCGUUUUCUUUUUUUUAUUGUGAUGAAGUGUAUGGUUUCGAUCAUACAUUUCAGAUCAAUAAAAAAAAUAAUCUUUUAACCAAUUGAACCCUUUUCUAAUUUAUGUUAUUUUAUUUCUAUUUAGUUCUGAAAUACUAUUAUGCUGCUCUUCAUUGAGCAAUAUAAUAAGAUUACAUUACGAAACAAUUUAAAUAAAACAACUCUUAGCAACGGAUAUCUUGGUUCUC